This 405-nucleotide ribosomal RNA is filed under the name uncultured eukaryote. RNAcentral's name for it is "SSU rRNA". It matches the Rfam family "Eukaryotic small subunit ribosomal RNA", at positions 567 to 990 of the family's 1831-position model. The record is from RNAcentral.
CCAGCAGCUGCGGUAAUUCCAGCUCCAAUAGCGUAUAUUAAAGUUGUUGCAGUUAAAAAGCUCGUAGUUGAACUUCUGGCUGUGGCUCCAGCAGGCUUCGGUCGCUGGCGUCGCGGUCAUCCGCUUGGUAACUACGUUCGGACUUCACUGUUCGGCGUAAGGAACAGGCAUUUUACUUAGAAAAAAUUAGAGUGUUCAAGGCAGGCUAUCGCCCUGAAUACACAAGCUUGGAAUAAUGAAAUAGGACUUUUUCCAUUUUAUUGGUUAUUGGAGAGAGUAAUGAUUAAUAGGGACAGUUGGGGGCAUUAGUAUUUCGUUGUCAGAGGUGAAAUUCUUGGACCAUUUGAAGACAAACUACUGCGAAAGCAUUUGCCAAGAAUGUUUUCAUUAAUCAAGAACGAAAGU